AACGAACGCUGGCGGCAUGCCUAACACAUGCAAGUCGAACGAGACCUUCGGGUCUAGUGGCGCACGGGUGCGUAACGCGUGGGAACCUGCCCUUAGGUUCGGAAUAACUCCCUGAAAGGGGUGCUAAUACCGGAUAAUGUCUUCGGACCAAAGAUUUAUCGCCUUUGUAUGGGCCCGCGUUGGUUUAGCUAGUUGGUAGUGUAAAAGCCUACCAAGGCGACGAUCCAUAGCUGGGCUGAGAGGAUGGUCAGCCACACUGGGACUGAGACACGGCGCAGACUCCUACGGGAGGCGGCAGUGGGGAAUAUUGGACAAUGGGCGAAAGGCUGAUCCAGCAAUGCCGCGUGAGUGAUGAAGGCCUUAGGGUAGUAAAGCUCUUUUACCCGGGAUGAUAAUGACAGUACCGGGAGAAUAAGCUCCGGCUAACUCCGUG
RNAcentral lists this ribosomal RNA (433 nucleotides) under uncultured bacterium. RNAcentral describes it as "partial 16S ribosomal RNA". It matches the Rfam family "Bacterial small subunit ribosomal RNA", at positions 29 to 507 of the family's 1533-position model. The record is from RNAcentral.